This 403-nucleotide ribosomal RNA is filed under the name uncultured bacterium. Its description in RNAcentral is "bacterial SSU rRNA". It matches the Rfam family "Bacterial small subunit ribosomal RNA", at positions 355 to 774 of the family's 1533-position model. The record is from RNAcentral.
UAGGGAAUAUUGCAAAAUGGGCGAAAGCCCGAUGCAGCAACGCCGCGUGGGCGAUGAAGGCCUUCGGGUCGUAAAGCCCUUUUUGAGGGGAUGAGGAAGGACAGUACCCUCAGAAUAAGCCUCGGCUAACUACGUGCCAGCAGCCGCGGUAAAACGUAGGAGGCGAGCGUUAUCCGGAUUUACUGGGCGUAAAGCGCGUGCAGGCGGAUUGGAGAGUUGGAUGUGAAAGCUCCCGGCUUAACUGGGAGAGGUCGUUCAAUACUUCCAGUCUUGAGUGCAGUAGAGGGAAGUGGAAUUCCGGGUGUAGUGGUGAAAUGCGUAGAUAUCCGGAGGAACACCAGUGGCGAAAGCGGCUUCCUGGACUGUAACUGACGCUCAGACGCGAAGGCUAGGGUAGCAAACG